This 250-nucleotide ribosomal RNA is filed under the name uncultured bacterium. RNAcentral describes it as "partial 16S ribosomal RNA". It matches the Rfam family "Bacterial small subunit ribosomal RNA", at positions 86 to 339 of the family's 1533-position model. The record is from RNAcentral.
UGAUGGCGAGUGGCGAACGGGUGAGUAAUAUAUCGGAACGUGCCUCAUAGUGGGGGAUAACGCAGCGAAAGCUGUGCUAAUACCGCAUACGCCCUGAGGGGGAAAGCGGGGGACCGUAAGGCCUCGCGCUAUGAGAGCGGCCGAUACCUGAUUAGCUUGUUGGUGGGGUAAAAGCCCACCAAGGCGACGAUCAGUAGCUGGUCUGAGAGGACGAUCAGCCACACUGGGACUGAGACACGGCCCAGACUCC